RNAcentral lists this ribosomal RNA (494 nucleotides) under uncultured bacterium. Its description in RNAcentral is "partial 16S ribosomal RNA". It matches the Rfam family "Bacterial small subunit ribosomal RNA", at positions 28 to 507 of the family's 1533-position model. The record is from RNAcentral.
GACGAACGCUGGCGGCGUGCUUAACACAUGCAAGUCGAACGGUGAAGCGCCUUCCUUUUUGGUGGGUGUGGAUGGGUGGCGAACGGGUGAGUAACACGUGAGUAACCUGCCCCCUUCUUCUGGAUAACCGCAUGAAAGUGUGGCUAAUACGGGAUAUUCUGGGUCUGUCGCAUGAUGGGUCUGGGAAAGAUAUUGUUUCGGUGGGGGAUGGGCUCGCGGCCUAUCAGCUUGUUGGUGGGGUGAUGGCCUACCAAGGCGGUGACGGGUAGCCGGCCUGAGAGGGUGGACGGUCACACUGGGACGGAGACACGGCCCAGACUCCUACGGGAGGCAGCAGUGGGGAAUAUUGCACAAUGGGCGCAAGCCUGAUGCAGCGACGCCGCGUGAGGGAUGGAGGCCUUCGGGUUGUGAACCUCUUUCGCCAGUGAAGCAGGCCUGCCUCGUUUGUGGGUGGGUUGACGGUAGCUGGAUAAGAAGCGCCGGCUAACUACGUG